AACGUAGGAGGCGAGCGUUAUCCGGAUUUACUGGGCGUAAAGCGUGUGUAGGCGGUACGGCAAGUUGGAUGUGAAAGCUCCUGGCUUAACUAGGAGAGGUCGUUCAAAACUACCGAACUAGAGUUUAUCAGAGGAAGAUGGAAUUCCCGGUGUAGUGGUGAAAUGCGUAGAUAUCGGGAGGAACACCAGUGGCGAAAGCGAUCUUCUGGGAUAAUACUGACGCUCAGACACGAAAGCUAGGGUAGCGAACGGG
This 253-nucleotide ribosomal RNA is filed under the name uncultured Longilinea sp. Its description in RNAcentral is "partial 16S ribosomal RNA". It matches the Rfam family "Bacterial small subunit ribosomal RNA", at positions 524 to 776 of the family's 1533-position model. The record is from RNAcentral. Lineage: Bacteria; Bacillati; Chloroflexota; Anaerolineae; Anaerolineales; Anaerolineaceae.